RNAcentral lists this ribosomal RNA (502 nucleotides) under uncultured bacterium. RNAcentral's name for it is "partial 16S ribosomal RNA". It matches the Rfam family "Bacterial small subunit ribosomal RNA", at positions 28 to 523 of the family's 1533-position model. The record is from RNAcentral.
GAUGAACGCUAGCGGCAGGCCUAACACAUGCAAGUCGAGGGGCAGCACAGAAACAGCAAUGUUUUGGUGGCGACCGGCGGACGGGUGCGUAACGCGUAUGCAACCUACCUUUAACAGGGGGAUAACGGAGAGAAAUUUCCACUAAUACCCCAUAACAUCGAUCAAGGCAUCUUGAUUGGUUGAAAACUCCGGUGGUUAAAGAUGGGCAUGCGUUGUAUUAGGUAGUUGGUGAGGUAAUGGCUCACCAAGCCUACGAUACAUAGGGGGACUGAGAGGUUAGCCCCCCACACUGGGACUGAGACACGGACCAGACUCCUACGGGAGGCAGCAGUGAGGAAUAUUGGUCAAGGGGGGCAACCCUGAACCAGCCAUGCCGCGUGCAGGAAGACGGCUCUAUGAGUUGUAAACUGCUUUUAAACAGGGAUAAAGCACAGUAUGUAUACUGUGUUGAAGGUACUGUAAGAAUAAGGAUCGGCUAACUCCGUGCCAGCCGCCGCAGUAA